This is a long non-coding RNA of Athene cunicularia (burrowing owl), 216 nucleotides long. RefSeq lists it as uncharacterized. The record is from RefSeq and is a predicted model, not a curated record. The transcript has 2 exons. Lineage: Eukaryota; Metazoa; Chordata; Aves; Strigiformes; Strigidae.
GGAUCUCUGGUACAGCAUAAGGAUACACUUAGUCAGGAAACUGCAACGCAGGUUAAAAGUGGAGAUGAAUACAAGAGAUUUCUGUUGAGAGCCAAGGAAGGAUGAAGUAGAGAAAUUCAAAGCAGGAGGUUUCCAGUCUUAUUCAAGAGGAAAAGCACUCCUAACUGGGAAGCUGAUGUGAACAGCCAUAUAUAUGGGCAACAUGAUUAUAAAGGA